This 1266-nucleotide long non-coding RNA is filed under the name Solanum tuberosum (potato). RNAcentral describes it as "long non-coding RNA (STUB_LNC008067)". The record is from RNAcentral. Lineage: Eukaryota; Viridiplantae; Streptophyta; Magnoliopsida; Solanales; Solanaceae.
CGGAGAGUUUUUUAUUUUAUUUAUCACUAUCUCAAUUCACAAUUGUAAGCUUCCGCAUGACACUGAUUCCUUUCGAACCCAACAAAAAAGUCAGACAUUUAUCAUAUAUAGAUUUAGAAAACAUAUACAUGAGUUGAAUUGAGGAUUGAGAGUUGAGUGCUCUUUGUAGAAUUUCCACUCUUCAUUCAUCAGCGGCUAGCGGAACCAUUUCUUUGAAUGAGACCAUAGUAUUCCAACUAUUUUUUUACCUAUAAAUAGCAGAAAUUUAAUAUUCAAAUGAACUAAAAAUAAAAUUAAUAAUCUUGACUUACGAUAAACAUAGUAGUCUUCAAGGUUCAAUGAUAAAGAAGUUUCUCAUAUUCUGCAACUCUGUGAUUUUUUCCUUUCAAUUUCUCAUUAAUUAAACAAAUAUGUUUCAACUUCUAUGUUAACUUUCACGGAAGACAAACAAUCGGUUGUAGAUGAGGAGGGAUUUGAGUGAGUAAGAUAUUUAAGAGGUGUAAUUAUAAAAAUUAAGAGAAAGUAUAUGAAAAUUAUUAUGAUUAAUGAUAAGCGUAAAUUAUAAUUAAGUGUAAAAUUAUCCAUUUAUUUCAUAAAAUGAACAAAUAUUAUUGGAUAUUCUAAAAUAGUAUAGUGAAUAAAUAUUUUGGACAAAGAAAGUACAUAGUAGUGAUGUGGAGGAGUAUAUAAGAGAGGGGGAAGCACAUGGGAAAGGGAAGAAGCUCCUCUCCGGUACAUAAUCUCUCCAGUUGAUUCAGUGCAUAUUUAAUUUAAUGAUAUUUGUCAAUUUUAAAAUUUAAUGAUUCAUAUUUAUUUAAAUAAAGCAAUCUUUAAACCAUGAUUAACUAAAAGUCUUAACUCAGGUUAAUUUAUUCUCUCUCUUCCCACUUCUCUCCCAUGGAGUAUCAAACAAUUCCCCAUCUUUGUUGCAGACGAACCAGUUACACUCUCAAAUUUCUAAGAUCUGCCAAACCACCCAGCCAUGAUGCAACGGCAUUUCUCUUACUUUGGGGCAAGGUUAAGCGGAAAUAGUGAUAGCAGAAAUUGGUGUCUUCUUGUUCAUAGUUGUAUUAGCCAAAAUUAAAUCGGGAGAAAUACAACAUCUUCAAAAUUGUGCGGACUUUUAAUUUCAUUAAUCUGGAAAUAUCAUAGAUUAAAAAGUUAGGGACUUGUAGUACUUGAAAGUUGAAACAUCUAUAUACCUGUAAAUUGGGAAAUAAGAAAUUUGGUUGAUACACUUUGGGAUGAAGAAUUUGAGAUUCAUGA